AGAGUUUGAUCAUGGCUCAGAACGAACGUUAGCGGUGUGGAUUAGGCAUGCAAGUCGUGCGCGAAAGUCCGCAAGGAUGAGUAAAGCGGCGAACGGGUGAGUAAUACGUAAUCAACCUACCCCCGAGAUCGGAAUAACCACUGGAAACGGUGGCUAAUGCUGGAUGGUCCUGCGGGCUGGCAUCAGUCUGCAGGUAAAUGGUGGCGCAAGCUGCUGUUCGGGGACGGGGUUACGGGCUAUCAGCUAGUUGGCGGGGUAACGGCCCACCAAGGCGAUGACGGCUAGCCGAUCUGAGAGGACGACCGGCCACACUGGGACUGAGACACUGCCCAGACUCCUACGGGAGGCUGCAGUCGAGGAUCUUCCGCAAUGGGCGAAAGCCUGACGGAGCGACACCGCGUGCAGGAUGAAGGCCUUCGGGUUGUAAACUGCUGUCACGCUAUAGGAAACGCCCUGGAUGAACAGUUCAGGGUCUGACUAAAGCGAGAGGAAGCACCGGCUAACUCUGUGCCAGCAGCCGCGGUAAGACAGAGGGUGCAAACGUUGUUCGGAAUCACUGGGCAUAAAGCGCACGUAGGCUGCCUUCUAAGUCAGGUGUGAAAUCCCCCGGCUCAACCGGGGAACUGCACUUGAUACUGGAAGGCUCGAGGUUGGUAGGGGUGGAUGGAACUCCAGGUGGAGCGGUGAAAUGCGUAGAUAUCUGGAGGAACACCGGAGGCGAAAGCGAUCCACUGGGCCAAAUCUGACGCUGAGGUGCGAAAGCUAGGGUAGCAAACGGGAUUAGAUACCCCGGUAGUCCUAGCCGUAAACUAUGGGUACUAGGCAAGGGGGCCACCUAUGUGCCUCUUUGCCGUAGCAAAUGUGUUAAGUACCCCGCCUGGGGAGUAUGCUCGCAAGGGUAAACUCAAAGGAAUUGACGGGGGCUCACACAAGCGGUGGAGCAUGUGGUUUAAUUCGAAGCACGCGAAAACCUUACCUGGCCUGACUACAUGGAUUAGUUCCGUGAAGCGGAAUGACAGCUCUUCGGAGUCGGAACAUGGUGCAGGUGUUGCAUGGCUGUCGUCAGCUCGUGUCGUGAGAUGUUGGGUUAAGUCCCGUAACGAGCGAAACCCCUAUUCUUAGUUGCCAGCGGGUAAUGCCGGGGACUCUAAGGAGACUGCCGUUGUCAAGACGGAGGAAGGUGGGGACGACGUCAAGUCAUCAUGGCCCUUAUGGCCAGGGCUACACACGUGCUACAAUGGUCUGUACAGAGGGUCCCGAGACCGCGAGGUGGAGGAAAUCCUAAAAGCAGACCUCAGUUCGGAUUGCAGGCUGCAAUUCGCCUGCAUGAAGCUGGAAUCGCUAGUAAUCGCGUAUCAGCUAUGACGCGGUGAAUAUGUUCCUGAGCCUUGUACACACCGCCCGUCAAGCCACGAAAGCGGGGAGUGCUCGAAGUCGCUUUGUCCAACCUUCGGGAGGGCGGCGCCGAAAGCAAGCUCCGUGAUUGGGACUAAGUC
This 1496-nucleotide ribosomal RNA is filed under the name uncultured bacterium. Its description in RNAcentral is "bacterial SSU rRNA". It matches the Rfam family "Bacterial small subunit ribosomal RNA". The record is from RNAcentral.